CAGGCUUUGAGCCAAAACUUACAAGGACUAAGAAAGAGAGGCCCAAUAAGGAGGUUAAGCGGGCAGCUAAUCUACUUUUUACAAGAGAAUUGGAGGAGAAUUUGGGUUUUAGCACUAUGGGUUUUGAUAAUGAUCGGCUUGUUCACAUGGAAAUUCAUCCAAUACAAGCAAAAAAAUGCUUUCAAAGUCAUGGGUUAUUGUCUCCUAACAGCUAAAGGUGCAGCAGAGACUUUGAAGCUCAACAUGGCUCUCAUUCUCUUGCCAGUGUGUAGAAAUACAAUCACCUGGCUCAGAUCCACAAGAUUAGGUUACUUCGUGCCCUUUGACGACAACAUUAAUUUUCACAAGACUAUUGCAGCCGCAAUUGUAAUUGGUGUCAUUCUCCAUGCUGGAAACCACCUUGCUUGUGAUUUUCCGAGGCUGAUAAAUUCAUCUGAUCAAGAAUAUCAGAGUUAUUUGCAUGAUGACUUUGGAGGACAUAAACCCAGUUAUGCUAAAUUGGCUAGAGGGGCUGAGGGCGUGACUGGAAUUUUAAUGGUUAUCUUUAUGGCAAUUGCAUUUACGCUUGCAACACGGUGGUUCAGGCGGAGCCUCAUUAAGUUUCCAAAACCCUUUGAUAGGCUCACUGGGUUCAAUGCAUUCUGGUAUUCACACCACCUAUUUGUCCUUGUCUACAUCCUGC
RNAcentral lists this unclassified non-coding RNA (682 nucleotides) under Hevea brasiliensis (rubber tree). Lineage: Eukaryota; Viridiplantae; Streptophyta; Magnoliopsida; Malpighiales; Euphorbiaceae. The record is from RNAcentral.